Molecule: ribosomal RNA, 491 nt
Filed under: uncultured bacterium
Lineage: Bacteria
Description: partial 16S ribosomal RNA
Rfam family: Bacterial small subunit ribosomal RNA
Source: RNAcentral
AGUGAACGCUGGCGGUAGGCCUAACACAUGCAAGUCGAACGGCAGCACAGUAAGAGCUUGCUCUUACGGGUGGCGAGUGGCGGACGGGUGAGGAAUACAUCGGAAUCUACUUUUUCGUGGGGGAUAACGUAGGGAAACUUACGCUAAUACCGCAUACGACCUACGGGUGAAAGCAGGGGAUCUUCGGACCUUGCGCGAUUGAAUGAGCCGAUGUCGGAUUAGCUAGUUGGCGGGGUAAAGGCCCACCAAGGCGACGAUCCGUAGCUGGUCUGAGAGGAUGAUCAGCCACACUGGAACUGAGACACGGUCCAGACUCCUACGGGAGGCAGCAGUGGGGAAUAUUGGACAAUGGGCGCAAGCCUGAUCCAGCCAUACCGCGUGGGUGAAGAAGGCCUGCGGGUCGUAAAGCCCUUUUGUUGGGAAAGAAAAGCAGCAGGUUAAUACCCCGCUGUUCUGACGGUACCCAAAGAAUAAGCACCGGCUAACUUCGU